RNAcentral lists this ribosomal RNA (376 nucleotides) under uncultured Anaerolineae bacterium. Its description in RNAcentral is "bacterial SSU rRNA". It matches the Rfam family "Bacterial small subunit ribosomal RNA", at positions 114 to 506 of the family's 1533-position model. Lineage: Bacteria; Bacillati; Chloroflexota; Anaerolineae. The record is from RNAcentral.
CGCGUUGGUGACCUGCCCUGAAGUGGGGGAUACCGGAUCGAAAGGUCCGCUAAUACCGCAUGAGAUCUCGCUAGUUAGAGAGGCGAGAAGAAAGCCGAAAGGCGCUUUAGGAGGGACCUGCGUCCCAUCAGCUAGUUGGUAAGGUAGUGGCUUACCAAGGCGAUGACGGGUAGGGGACCUGAGAGGGUGGCCCCCCACAAUGGAACUGAAACACGGUCCAUACACCUACGGGUGGCAGCAGUAGGGAAUAUUGGUUAAUGGGCGAAAGCCUGACCCAGCAACGCCGCGUGAACGAUGAAGGCCUUCGGGUUGUAAAGUUCUUUUGGCAGGGAUGAGGAAGGACAGUACCUGUCGAAUAAGUCUCGGCUAACUACGU